This 345-nucleotide ribosomal RNA is filed under the name uncultured soil bacterium. Its description in RNAcentral is "bacterial SSU rRNA". It matches the Rfam family "Bacterial small subunit ribosomal RNA", at positions 26 to 372 of the family's 1533-position model. The record is from RNAcentral.
AGAUUGAACGCUGGCGGCAGGCCUAACACAUGCAAGUCGAGCGGUAGAGAGGUGCUUGCACCUCUUGAGAGCGGCGGACGGGUGAGUAAUGCCUAGGAAUCUGCCUAGUGGUGGGGGAUAACGUUCGGAAACGGACGCUAAUACCGCAUACGUCCUACGGGAGAAAGCGGGGGACCUUCGGGCCUCGCGCCAUUAGAUGAGCCUAGGUCGGAUUAGCUAGUUGGUGAGGUAAUGGCUCACCAAGGCGACGAUCCGUAACUGGUCUGAGAGGAUGAUCAGUCACACUGGAACUGAGACACGGUCCAAGACUCCUACGGGAGCAGCAGUGGGGAAUAGUUGGACAAU